CCUACGGGUGGCAGCAGUGGGGAAUAUUGCUCAAUGGGGGAAACCCUGAUGCAGCGACGCCGCGUGAGUGAUGAAGUACUUCGGUAUGUAAAGCUCUAUCAGCAGGGAAGAAAAUGAAGGUACCUGAUCAUGAAGCCACGGCUAACUACGUGCCAGCAGGCGCGGUAAUACGUAGGGGGCAAGCGUUAUCAGGAUUUACUGGGUGUAAAGGGGGCGUAGACGGCAGGACAAGUCUGGAGGGAAAUGCCGGGGCUUAACCCCGGAACUGCUUUGGAAACUGUGCAGCUAGAGUGCAGGAGAGGUAAGUGGAAUUCCUGGUGUAGCGGUGAAAUGCGUAGAUAUUAGGAGGAACACCAGUGGCGAAGGCGGCUUACUGGACUGUAACUGACGUUGAGGCUCGAAAGCGUGGGGAGCAAACAGGAUUAGAUACCCCGGUAGUC
RNAcentral lists this ribosomal RNA (440 nucleotides) under uncultured bacterium. RNAcentral describes it as "partial 16S ribosomal RNA". It matches the Rfam family "Bacterial small subunit ribosomal RNA", at positions 338 to 795 of the family's 1533-position model. The record is from RNAcentral.